RNAcentral lists this ribosomal RNA (1341 nucleotides) under uncultured Mycoplasma sp. RNAcentral describes it as "partial 16S ribosomal RNA". It matches the Rfam family "Bacterial small subunit ribosomal RNA", at positions 153 to 1499 of the family's 1533-position model. Lineage: Bacteria; Bacillati; Mycoplasmatota; Mollicutes; Mycoplasmatales; Mycoplasmataceae. The record is from RNAcentral.
GAAACAUUGGUUAAUGCCGGAUACGCAUGAAGUCGCAUGACUUCGUUGUGAAAGGAGCGUUUGCUCCGCUAAGAGAUGAGGGUGCGGAACAUUAGCUAGUUGGUGAGGUAAUGGCCCACCAAGGCUAUGAUGUUUAGCCGGGUCGAGAGACUGAACGGCCACAUUGGGACUGAGAUACGGCCCAAACUCCUACGGGAGGCAGCAGUAGGGAAUAUUCCACAAUGAGCGAAAGCUUGAUGGAGCGACACAGCGUGCACGAUGAAGGCCCUCGGGUUGUAAAGUGCUGUUGCAAGGGAAGAACAGUUAGUUGAGGAAAUGCUUCUAAUCUGACGGUACCUUGUUAGAAAGCGAUGGCUAACUAUGUGCCAGCAGCCGCGGUAAUACAUAGGUCGCAAGCGUUAUCCGGAAUUAUUGGGCGUAAAGCGUUCGUAGGCUGUUUAUUAAGUCUGGAGUCAAAUCCCAGGGCUCAACCCUGGCUCGCUUUGGAUACUGGUAAACUAGAGUUAGAUAGAGGUAAGCGGAAUUCCAUGUGGAGCGGUGAAAUGCGUAGAUAUAUGGAAGAACACCAAAGGCGAAGGCAGCUUACUGGGUCUAUACUGACGCUGAGGGACGAAAGCGUGGGGAGCAAACAGGAUUAGAUACCCUGGUAGUCCACGCUGUAAACGAUGAUCAUUAGUCGGUGGAAAACUACUGACGCAGCUAACGCAUUAAAUGAUCCGCCUGAGUAGUAUGCUCGCAAGAGUGAAACUUAAAGGAAUUGACGGGGACCCGCACAAGCGGUGGAGCAUGUGGUUUAAUUUGAUGAUACGCGGAGAACCUUACCCACUCUUGACAUCCCCUGCAAAGCUAUAGAGAUAUAGUGGAGGUUAACAGGGUGACAGAUGGUGCAUGGUUGUCGUCAGCUCGUGUCGUGAGAUGUUUGGUCAAGUCCUGCAACGAGCGCAACCCCUAUCUUUAGUUACUAACGAGUCAUGUCGAGGACUCUAGAGAUACUGCCUGGGUAACCGGGAGGAAGGUGGGGAUGACGUCAAAUCAUCAUGCCUCUUACGAGUGGGGCUACACACGUGCUACAAUGGUCGGUACAAAGAGAAGCAAUAUGGCGACAUGGAGCAAAUCUCAAAAAGCCGAUCUCAGUUCGGAUUGAAGUCUGCAAUUCGACUUCAUGAAGUCGGAAUCGCUAGUAAUCGCAGAUCAGCUACGCUGCGGUGAAUACGUUCUCGGGUCUUGUACACACCGCCCGUCGCACCAUGGGAGCUGGUAAUACCCAAAGUCGGUUUGCUAACCUCGGAGGCGACUGCCUAAGGUAGGACUGGUGACUGGGGUUAAGUCGUAACAAGGUAU